ACGAGUGGCGGACGGGUGGGUAAUGUCUGGGAAACUGCCUGGUGGAGGGGGAUAACUACUGGAAACGGUAGCUAAUACCGCAUAACGUCGCAAGACCAAAGAGGGGGACCUUCGGGCCUCUUGCCAUCGGAUGUGCCCAGAUGGGAUUAGCUAGUAGGUGGGGUAACGGCUCACCUAGGCGACGAUCCCUAGCUGGUCUGAGAGGAUGACCAGCCACACUGGAACUGAGACACGGUCCAG
This 240-nucleotide ribosomal RNA is filed under the name uncultured bacterium. RNAcentral describes it as "partial 16S ribosomal RNA". It matches the Rfam family "Bacterial small subunit ribosomal RNA", at positions 91 to 334 of the family's 1533-position model. The record is from RNAcentral.